UUGAUGAACGCUAGCGACAGGCUUAACACAUGCAAGUCGAGGGGCAGCAUGGUAGGUAGCAAUACUUAUUGAUGGCGACCGGCGCACGGGUGAGUAACGCGUAUGCAACUUACCUAUCAGAGGAGGAUAGCCCGGCGAAAGUCGGAUUAAUACUCCAUAAAACAGGGAUCCCGCAUGGGAAUAUUUGUUAAAGAUUCAUCGCUGAUAGAUAGGCAUGCGUUCCAUUAGGCAGUUGGCGGGGUAACGGCCCACCAAACCGACGAUGGAUAGGGGUUCUGAGAGGAAGGUCCCCCACAUUGGUACUGAGACACGGACCAAACUCCUACGGGAGGCAGCAGUGAGGAAUAUUGGUCAAUGGCCGAGAGGCUGAACCAGCCAAGUCGCGUGAAGGAUGAAGGAUCUAUGGUUUGUAAACUUCUUUUAUAGGGGAAUAAAGUGUGGGACGUGUCCCAUUUUGUAUGUACCCUAUGAAUAAGCAUCGGCUAACUCCGUGCCAGCAGCCGCGGUAAUACGGAGGAUGCGAGCGUUAUCCGGAUUUAUUGGGUUUAAAGGGUGCGUAGGUGGUAAUUUAAGUCAGCGGUGAAAGUUUGUGGCUCAACCAUAAAAUUGCCGUUGAAACUGGGUUACUUGAGUGUGUUUUGAGGUAGGCGGAAUGCGUGGUGUAGCGGUGAAAUGCAUAGAUAUCACGCAGAACUCCAAUUGCGAAGGCAGCUUAC
This 716-nucleotide ribosomal RNA is filed under the name uncultured organism. Its description in RNAcentral is "SSU rRNA". It matches the Rfam family "Bacterial small subunit ribosomal RNA", at positions 26 to 729 of the family's 1533-position model. The record is from RNAcentral.